This is a ribosomal RNA of Ictalurus punctatus (channel catfish), 118 nucleotides long. Lineage: Eukaryota; Metazoa; Chordata; Actinopteri; Siluriformes; Ictaluridae. The record is from Ensembl.
GCUUACGGCCAUACCACUCUGAAAAGCCUGAUCUCAUCUGACCUUGGAAGCAAAGCAGAGUUGGGCCUGGUUAGUACUUGGUUGGGAGACUGAAUGGGAAUACUAGGUGCUGUAAGCU